RNAcentral lists this small nuclear RNA (105 nucleotides) under Carlito syrichta (Philippine tarsier). The record is from RNAcentral. Lineage: Eukaryota; Metazoa; Chordata; Mammalia; Primates; Tarsiidae.
GUGCUUGAUUUGGGAGCACAUAUACUAAAACUGCAACAAUCCAGAGAAAAUGAGCAUAGACUGUGUAAGGAUGACAUGACAUCUAUAAAGUAUUCUCCAUGUUUU